GGCGUAAAGAGCUCGUAGGUGGUUUGUCGCGUUGUUCGUGAAAUCUCACGGCUUAACUGUGAGCGUGCGGGCGAUACGGGCAGACUUGAGUACUGCAGGGGAGACUGGAAUUCCUGGUGUAGCGGUGGAAUGCGCAGAUAUCAGGAGGAACACCGGUGGCGAAGGCGGGUCUCUGGGCAGUAACUGACGCUGAGGAGCGAAAGCGUGGGGAGCGAACAGGAUUAGAUACCCUGGUAGUCCACGCCGUAAACGGUGGGUACUAGGUGUGGGUUUCCUUCCUUGGGAUCCGUGCCGUAGCUAACGCAUUAAGUACCCCGCCUGGGGAGUACGGCCGCAAGGCUAAAACUCAAAGAAAUUGACGGGGGCCCGCACAAGCGGCGGAGCAUGUGGAUUAAUUCGAUGCAACGCGAAGAACCUUACCUGGGUUUGACAUGCACAGGACGCCGGCAGAGAUGUCGGUUCCCUUGUGGCCUGUGUGCAGGUGGUGCAUGGCUGUCGUCAGCUCGUGUCGUGAGAUGUUGGGUUAAGUCCCGCAACGAGCGCAACCCUUGUCUCAUGUUGCCAGCGGGUAAUGCCGGGGACUCGUGAGAGACUGCCGGGGUCAACUCGGAGGAAGGUGGGGAUGACGUCAAGUCAUCAUGCCCCUUAUGUCCAGGGCUUCACACAUGCUACAAUGGCCGGUACAAAGGGCUGCGAUGCCGCGAGGUUAAGCGAAUCCUUUUAAAGCCGGUCUCAGUUCGGAUCGGGGUCUGCAACUCGACCCCGUGAAGUCGGAGUCGCUAGU
This 784-nucleotide ribosomal RNA is filed under the name uncultured bacterium. Its description in RNAcentral is "bacterial SSU rRNA". It matches the Rfam family "Bacterial small subunit ribosomal RNA", at positions 557 to 1339 of the family's 1533-position model. The record is from RNAcentral.